UUCGCAUCUCUAAACUCGCGAUACGCAUGCCCCACAACUCAGUACAGAAUUCGAUCACGCAUUCAUUCAAUAAUAUAUACGAUUUGUUUUGUUUUAGAAUUAACAUAAAUCUUGAAAUAUUAAGGGACUUAGAAACUCCAACAGGAUGCCACUACAGCGAGAAUUGACGAAGAUUUUACGCAAGUACAAGGUGGUAUUACUCAUAUUUUCGUAUUUCUAUACUAUUUCUUUUGUUUUAGACUUCCACUGUGCACUGUCGGAGGACUUUGAAAAUCUAUCUCCACGAGAGGACUUAGAAAUUUUUGCUCCUUUGGGGGACUGAAAAUCUUUCUCUACGAGUGGACUUAGAAAUUUUCGCACCUUUGGGGGACUUUGAAAAUCUAUCUCCACGACUAGACUUAGAAAUUUUCGCACGAUGCCAAAUUCCAGCAAAUAUUAACAAAGACUUAAAAACCUCGUUGCAAUCGCGCGCAUUGCAAUGAUGUAAUCAAGGGUUAGUAGCGCUAAAAUAAAUUUAUCGCGAAGUAGAAGCAGUGUUUGUUCGUUCGCGUGUCGCGAUUUAAACCAUAAGUGUUUUUGCAUAGACUGCGUGCAAUGCAGUCCUUAGAGUCAGUGUUUGUUCGCGUAGUUUUUUCAAUUUUUUAACAGUCGCACUGACUGUAUUUAUAAUAUAUAGUAGAGUUUCGCGAAAUAAAUUCAGUGUCCGUUCGUUAAUAAAUAACUACCGCGAAUUAGAGUCAGUGCAUCACUGAAGAGGAUCUCGACCAACGUCGAUGUCGACCUACCUCAUUUUCAACCAACUACGAAUCAUCCACCCUCAAUUUCGACCUAAAUCGCGGUCGAGUGUUUUGGAGCCAUCGCAGAACUUCUUAAGUAGUUAGAUCAUCGAGG
Long non-coding RNA from Vespula vulgaris, 891 nucleotides. RefSeq lists it as uncharacterized. The transcript has 3 exons. The record is from RefSeq and is a predicted model, not a curated record. Lineage: Eukaryota; Metazoa; Arthropoda; Insecta; Hymenoptera; Vespidae.